GCUCAACCGGGGAGGGUCAUUGGAAACUGGGGAACUUGAGUGCAGAAGAGGAGAGUGGAAUUCCACGUGUAGCGGUGAAAUGCGUAGAGAUGUGGAGGAACACCAGUGGCGAAGGCGACUCUCUGGUCUGUAACUGACGCUGAGGAGCGAAAGCGUGGGGAGCGAACAGGAUUAGAUACCCUGGUAGUCCACGCCGUAAACGAUGAGUGCUAAGUGUUAGGGGGUUUCCGCCCCUUAGUGCUGCAGCUAACGCAUUAAGCACUCCGCCUGGGGAGUACGGUCGCAAGACUGAAACUCAAAGGAAUUGACGGGGGCCCGCACAAGCGGUGGAGCAUGUGGUUUAAUUCGAAGCAACGCGAAGAACCUUACCAGGUCUUGACAUCCUCUGACAAUCCUAGAGAUAGGACGUCCCCUUCGGGGGCAGAGUGACAGGUGGUGCAUGGUUGUCGUCAGCUCGUGUCGUGAGAUGUUGGGUUAAGUCCCGCAACGAGCGCAACCCUUGAUCUUAGUUGCCAGCAUUCAGUUGGGCACUCUAAGGUGACUGCCGGUGACAAACCGGAGGAAGGUGGGGAUGACGUCAAAUCAUCAUGCCCCUUAUGACCUGAGCUACACACGUGCUACAAUGGACAGAACAAAG
Molecule: ribosomal RNA, 637 nt
Filed under: uncultured bacterium
Lineage: Bacteria
Description: bacterial SSU rRNA
Rfam family: Bacterial small subunit ribosomal RNA
Source: RNAcentral